RNAcentral lists this long non-coding RNA (692 nucleotides) under Citrus x clementina. RNAcentral's name for it is "Citrus clementina (C. clementina) long non-coding RNA (CCLE_LNC000594)". Lineage: Eukaryota; Viridiplantae; Streptophyta; Magnoliopsida; Sapindales; Rutaceae. The record is from RNAcentral.
UUUUUUAAGAUUUUAAGGAAAUUUUAAUUAACGUAAACUAUUAUUGGGGGUAAUAUUAUCUUUUUAAAGUCAACAGUUAGUUAAUGAAAAUUUUAACUAACGGUAAGUGGUCUUUUACAAAUAAAAUAAUUUUUACCAUCUACUUGCAACAACCUCAAACUUCAAGAAAUACUUUUAAAAAUUAACCUUUAGAUUUUUAUUGUAUAUUUAUACACUGAUUUUUUAUUGUAUUGUGUACAAUAUUGAAAAGAAUGUAUAAUUAUAUAAUUAUAUAAUCGCGGUGGCGGUUUUGCCCUUUCCAGAUUGAAAGGGUUUUGUCGUUCGUCGAGUAAUUUCGGCUUUAUUGACAGAUUUGCAAUAACGGGGCUCGAUGAUGUGAAGUGAUUAUCUGAAGAAGAUCAUAAAUCAUUAUUACAUUAGCCAGUUGGUUGGUACGUAGCCCAUUGGCACCACCCAAGCACUCAGGUACAUUCCAGAGGAUGGCAAUGGGAUUGGCUCCGAUUAGUUAUUAUUAUUGGGACUCAUUUUAUUUUAUUUUUUAAUUGAAUUGAAUAAAGAAAAAAGAUUGAGUAAAAUAGAUAUCUUAUGGUGUUAAGAGCAUUAUUAAAAGAUUUAUUGAUUUUUCUUAAAAAAUCUUUAUUUGUGUGAUAAAUGAAAGUGUGAAUAAAUAAAUUUUCUCUCAAGAGCUCUAU